GAUGAACGCUGGCGGCGUGCCUAAUACAUGCAAGUCGAGCGAACAGACGAGGAACUUGCUCCUCUGACGUUAGCGGCGGACGGGUGAGUAACACGUGGAUAACCUACCUAUAAGACUGGGAUAACUUCGGGAAACCGGAGCUAAUACCGGAUAAUAUAUUGAACCGCAUGGUUCAAUAGUGAAAGACGGUUUUGCUGUCACUUAUAGAUGGAUCCGCGCCGCAUUAGCUAGUUGGUAAGGUAACGGCUUACCAAGGCAACGAUGCGUAGCCGACCUGAGAGGGUGAUCGGCCACACUGGAACUGAGACACGGUCCAGACUCCUACGGGAGGCAGCAGUAGGGAAUCUUCCGCAAUGGGCGAAAGCCUGACGGAGCAACGCCGCGUGAGUGAUGAAGGUCUUCGGAUCGUAAAACUCUGUUAUUAGGGAAGAAUAAAUGUGUAAGUAACUAUGCACGUCUUGACGGUACCUAAUCAGAAAGCCACGGCUAACUACGU
RNAcentral lists this ribosomal RNA (496 nucleotides) under uncultured bacterium. Its description in RNAcentral is "partial 16S ribosomal RNA". It matches the Rfam family "Bacterial small subunit ribosomal RNA", at positions 28 to 506 of the family's 1533-position model. The record is from RNAcentral.